This is a long non-coding RNA of Rhincodon typus (whale shark), 905 nucleotides long. RefSeq lists it as uncharacterized. NCBI's taxonomy places the organism in Eukaryota, Metazoa, Chordata, Chondrichthyes, Orectolobiformes, Rhincodontidae. The record is from RefSeq and is a predicted model, not a curated record. The transcript has 4 exons.
AGAUGACAGAAAUGUUGGUGGUAUAGUGGCUGGUGUUAUCAUUGCGCUGCUCAUCGUGGCUUUCAUUGGGAUCGGCCUGUGGUUUGCGUACCGUAAGGGAUACAUCGGACAAAAACGGCCAACGAAACAAAAGGUGAUCUACAGUCAGCCACCAGCUGAUGAAGUGGAUGAUAAUGACUUCAAACAGAAAUCUUCAUUUGUCGUCUAACCCACUCCAUCAAAGCAAGACCCACGCUGGGACACAUAACCAGCCCCCUUCCCCCCCCACCCUCACCCUCCCUCCCCCACUCCCUCAUUCCCUCCGGCCCCGUGGAGGAGGGGUCCCUCGUUAACCCAGCAUUUCCCUGAGAAUCCGAACUCGACGGGAAACUGGUGGGAUUGAGGUCUUAUCGUGGAAAAACAAAAUCAUCUUUCUUCUCACGCACAGUCUUUUCAGACUUGAUGAUUUUUUAAUUAACUGUACAAAAUGUGGCUUUGUGAAUAUUAACCAUCAGUUUGGAUACAGCUUGUCCCUGUUUUGUAACUCCAUUCCGCACCUGCCCAGAUAACUGUGUAGAGGGAGCUUUCCUGGCAUUUUAAAAGAGUAAGAGGUAGCUUUUCCUCCCUAUCUAACCCCGUGCUGUCCCUGUCCUGGGAGUGUUUGAUGGGGGACAGUGUAGAGGGAGCUUUACUCUGUAUCUAACCCCGUGCUGUCCCUGCCCUGGGAGUGUUUGAUGGGGGGACGGUGUAUAAUAUUUGAUUCUGGUGUGUAGCUCUGACCCCUUUGCUGUUUUAAAUAUUUAUUGUAACGGUGAUUUGAAGCUGUGCAGCUGCACCUUUCCACAUGCUUUUUGUUUUUCAGUUUUGUAAUGUAUUUUUUUAAAACCUGUCCUUCAGCACCGUGAAUAAAAAUAAUUUGUGCUCCA